ACGAACGCUGGCGGCGUGCUUAACACAUGCAAGUCGCACGGAAAGGCCCUGCUUUUGUGGGGUGCUCGAGUGGCGAACGGGUGAGUAACACGUGAGUAACCUGCCCUUGACUUUGGGAUAACUUCAGGAAACUGGGGCUAAUACCGGAUAGGAGCUCCUGCUGCAUGGUGGGGGUUGGAAAGUUUCGGCGGUUGGGGAUGGACUCGCGGCUUAUCAGCUUGUUGGUGGGGUAGUGGCUUACCAAGGCUUUGACGGGUAGCCGGCCUGAGAGGGUGACCGGCCACAUUGGGACUGAGAUACGGCCCAGACUCCUACGGGAGGCAGCAGUGGGGAAUAUUGCACAAUGGGCGGAAGCCUGAUGCAGCAACGCCGCGUGCGGGAUGACGGCCUUCGGGUUGUAAACCGCUUUCGCCUGUGACGAAGCGUGAGUGGCGGUAAUGGGUAAAGAAGCACCGGCUAACUACGUG
Molecule: ribosomal RNA, 467 nt
Filed under: uncultured bacterium
Lineage: Bacteria
Description: partial 16S ribosomal RNA
Rfam family: Bacterial small subunit ribosomal RNA
Source: RNAcentral